Molecule: ribosomal RNA, 498 nt
Filed under: uncultured bacterium
Lineage: Bacteria
Description: partial 16S ribosomal RNA
Rfam family: Bacterial small subunit ribosomal RNA
Source: RNAcentral
ACUCAAAUGAAUUGACGGGGGCCCGCACAAGCGGUGGAGCAUGUGGUUCAAUUCGACGCAACGCGAAGAACCUUACCCAGGCUUGAACCGCCGGUGACAGCCCUGGAAACAGGGUUUUCCUUCGGGACGCCGGUAGAGGUGCUGCAUGGCUGUCGUCAGCUCGUGUCGUGAGAUGUUGGGUUAAGUCCCGCAACGAGCGCAACCCUUGCCCUUAGUUACCAUCGGGUCAUGCCGGGGACUCUAAGGGGACUGCCCCGGAAAACGGGGAGGAAGGUGGGGAUGACGUCAAGUCCUCAUGGCCUUUAUGUCUGGGGCUACACACGUGCUACAAUGGGCGGUACAAAGGGUCGCAAUGCCGCGAGGCUGAGCUAAUCCCAAAAAACCGUCCCCAGUUCGGAUUGGAGUCUGCAACUCGACUCCAUGAAGUUGGAAUCGCUAGUAAUCGCGGAUCAGCACGCCGCGGUGAAUACGUUCCCGGGCCUUGUACACACCGCCCGU